Molecule: ribosomal RNA, 733 nt
Filed under: Vibrio sp.
Lineage: Bacteria; Pseudomonadati; Pseudomonadota; Gammaproteobacteria; Vibrionales; Vibrionaceae
Description: bacterial SSU rRNA
Rfam family: Bacterial small subunit ribosomal RNA
Source: RNAcentral
UGCAAGUCGAGCGGAAACGAGUUAUCUGAACCUUCGGGGAACGAUAACGGCGUCGAGCGGCGGACGGGUGAGUAAUGCCUAGGAAAUUGCCCUGAUGUGGGGGAUAACCAUUGGAAACGAUGGCUAAUACCGCAUAACACCUUCGGGUCAAAGAGGGGGACCUUCGGGCCUCUCGCGUCAGGAUAUGCCUAGGUGGGAUUAGCUAGUUGGUGAGGUAAUGGCUCACCAAGGCGACGAUCCCUAGCUGGUCUGAGAGGAUGAUCAGCCACACUGGAACUGAGACACGGUCCAGACUCCUACGGGAGGCAGCAGUGGGGAAUAUUGCACAAUGGGCGCAAGCCUGAUGCAGCCAUGCCGCGUGUGUGAAGAAGGCCUUCGGGUUGUAAAGCACUUUCAGUCGUGAGGAAGGUAGUGUAGUUAAUAGCUGCAUUAUUUGACGUUAGCGACAGAAGAAGCACCGGCUAACUCCGUGCCAGCAGCCGCGGUAAUACGGAGGGUGCGAGCGUUAAUCGGAAUUACUGGGCGUAAAGCGCAUGCAGGUGGUUUGUUAAGUCAGAUGUGAAAGCCCGGGGCUCAACCUCGGAAUAGCAUUUGAAACUGGCAGACUAGAGUACUGUAGAGGGGGGUAGAAUUUCAGGUGUAGCGGUGAAAUGCGUAGAGAUCUGAAGGAAUACCGGUGGCGAAGGCGGCCCCCUGGACAGAUACUGACACUCAGAUGCGAAAGCGUGGGGAG